RNAcentral lists this small nucleolar RNA (90 nucleotides) under Sus scrofa (pig). Its description in RNAcentral is "Small nucleolar RNA SNORA51 (ENSSSCG00070025874.1)". Lineage: Eukaryota; Metazoa; Chordata; Mammalia; Artiodactyla; Suidae. The record is from RNAcentral.
GGCCUCCAGUGUUUACCACAGGCUGGGUUCUUAUACUGACUGUAUGGAAAGAGGAUAUAGAGUAAUUCACUCCAUAUUAAAAAGAAAAAA